RNAcentral lists this non-coding RNA (117 nucleotides) under Chlorocebus sabaeus (green monkey). The record is from Rfam by way of RNAcentral. Lineage: Eukaryota; Metazoa; Chordata; Mammalia; Primates; Cercopithecidae.
GCAGGGCACGAUGGCUCAUGCCUGUAAUCCCAGCAUUUUGGGAGGCCGAGGCAGGUGGUUCACCUGAGGCCAGGAGUUCAAGACCAGCCUGGCCAACAAGGUGAAACCCUGUCUCUA